ACUCUAGGAACCACAGGAGUGAUCCAAGCCGCAAGAUGAUGUAUGUAUGUGUGCAUCCAGCGAAAGAACAAAACACCACCCAAACAGUCCUCUCCCUUGUGAAAUCAGACGUUUGAGGCUGACCUGGGGAGGUGCUCCAAGCCAAGAAAGAAGGACAAGAAAGAAGGUGAGUGGGCGGGCGGUAGUCAGAGAGGAGCCACACUCCUGCUGCUCGUCUCGCUCGGGGGGGUUUAUUCCUUCUGCAGCAAACCUCCUUUUUCCAGACAUCCCUAGUGCACCUGCACCUGCAUGCUAGCCCAGAGGGCUGAUUGGCAGGCAGGAGCCUUGCAGUUAGCUGCCGGAGAAGGUCCAGAGACACAGGUUAAUAAAUACUAACAGUCACUGCAGUGAAUUCCAGGUGGGCUGGGUUCUCACGGCGUCUACCUGGGUAAACUCGUUCUCACCUCACCAGCAGGUGAGCAUGUCAUACCCAACCUACAGAUGAGGAAGCAGAGGAACGCUUCCUCACCCGGGGUUGCCUUCUAUCACUGCCUCCUUCUCUAGGCUGCUGACCUUCACUUCCCUAGCCCUCAGUUUUCCCAUCUGUAAAAUGGGGACAAUGAAAGAGCCAUCCCUGCCAUGUCGUGGCAUGAGAUGAGAGGAUUCGGGGGUGAAGUGCCCAGCAUAGUGCCUGGGAUGGGUUAAGC
Zalophus californianus (California sea lion) is the source of this 686-nucleotide long non-coding RNA. The record is from Ensembl. NCBI's taxonomy places the organism in Eukaryota, Metazoa, Chordata, Mammalia, Carnivora, Otariidae.